RNAcentral lists this ribosomal RNA (449 nucleotides) under uncultured Desulfovibrio sp. RNAcentral's name for it is "bacterial SSU rRNA". It matches the Rfam family "Bacterial small subunit ribosomal RNA", at positions 930 to 1382 of the family's 1533-position model. Lineage: Bacteria; Pseudomonadati; Thermodesulfobacteriota; Desulfovibrionia; Desulfovibrionales; Desulfovibrionaceae. The record is from RNAcentral.
CGGUGGAGCAUGUGGUUUAAUUCGAUGAUACGCGAGGAACCUUACCUGGGCUCAAAUGUAUGUUGACGUAUCUGAAAGGGAUACUUCUUCGGACAAUAUACAAGGUGCUGCAUGGUUGUCGUCAGCUCGUGCCGUGAGGUGUCGGGUUAAGUCCCAUAACGAGCGCAACCCCUAUCAUUAGUUGCUACCAGGUAAUGCUGGGCACUCUGGUGAGACUGCCCCGGUUAACGGGGAGGAAGGUGGGGACGACGUCAAGUCAUCAUGGCCCUUACGCCUAGGGCUACACACGUACUACAAUGGCGCAUACAAAGGGCAGCGAUACCGCGAGGUGGAGCCAAUCCCAAAAAGUGCGUCCCAGUCCGGAUUGCAGUCUGCAACUCGACUGCAUGAAGUUGGAAUCGCUAGUAAUUCGAGAUCAGCAUGCUCGGGUGAAUGCGUUCCCGGGCCUU